AUUGAACGCUGGCGGCAUGCCUUACACAUGCAAGUCGAACGGCAGCACGGGAGCAAUCCUGGUGGCGAGUGGCGAACGGGUGAGUAAUAUAUCGGAACGUGCCCAGUCGUGGGGAUAACGUAGCGAAAGCUACGCUAAUACCGCAUACGAUCUAUGGAUGAAAGCGGGGGAUCGCAAGACCUCGCGCGAUUGGAGCGGCCGAUAUCAGAUUAGGUAGUUGGUGAGGUAAAGGCUCACCAAGCCGACGAUCUGUAGCUGGUCUGAGAGGACGACCAGCCACACUGGGACUGAGACACGG
Molecule: ribosomal RNA, 298 nt
Filed under: uncultured bacterium
Lineage: Bacteria
Description: partial 16S ribosomal RNA
Rfam family: Bacterial small subunit ribosomal RNA
Source: RNAcentral